AGGCAUUCACUACUUACUUUUCCAGUAUCUACUAUGGACUGAACAAGUGCAGUAAGGCCUUAAAGGUGUGGAAAUCAAAUUUUCAAGAUUAUCUAAGCAGACUUCCAGUAUUACGUUGAAUAGGAGUGGUGAAAGUGGCCAUCUUUGUCUUGUUCCCGGUCUUGGGGGAAUGCUUCCAACUUUUCCUCAUGCAGUAUGAAGUUCGCUGGGUGAGUCUUAUAUGGCUUUCAUUAUUUGUCUUAUGUUCCUUUGAUGCCUAAUUUGUUAAGGGUUUUUCUCACCAAUUGAUGCUGAAUUUUAUCAAAUUUUUUUUCCUCAUCUACUGAAAUGAUCAUAUGGUUUUGUUUACAGUUCUGUUUAUGUGGUGAAUCACAGUUAUUGAUUUGUGUAUGAAACA
This 397-nucleotide long non-coding RNA is filed under the name Callithrix jacchus (white-tufted-ear marmoset). Its description in RNAcentral is "lncRNA (ENSCJAG00000079652.1)". The record is from RNAcentral. Lineage: Eukaryota; Metazoa; Chordata; Mammalia; Primates; Cebidae.